RNAcentral lists this long non-coding RNA (238 nucleotides) under Panax ginseng (ginseng). Its description in RNAcentral is "long non-coding RNA (PGIN_LNC012279)". Lineage: Eukaryota; Viridiplantae; Streptophyta; Magnoliopsida; Apiales; Araliaceae. The record is from RNAcentral.
CAGAUAAUCGAAUGUCGAACGCCAAAGACUUUAAGGCAAUCUUAUUGCUAGGGUAUAGAGGAUUAAGUGACUCAGUAGAAGCGUUUAUGAUAGUUAGGAUAACGGAAAGGGCAAAAGAUAACUUUUAUCACCUAUACGAUAAAAGGGAAAUGAGAUAAAGAGAAAGUUUGUGGGCAGAAGAGACAUAUCUCUUCCAAUUGUCCCAAUUCAAGAAUGUAUAGCGAAUGUUUUAUUUNNN